Molecule: long non-coding RNA, 219 nt
Organism: Terrapene triunguis (Three-toed box turtle)
Lineage: Eukaryota; Metazoa; Chordata; Testudines; Emydidae
Exons: 3
Source: RefSeq, a predicted model, not a curated record
GUCAAACCGAGAAGUGCUGGCUCUCAGUGAUGCUUAGAUGGAAAACCACACACCCCUCAUGGAGGAAAAUCAUCCCCAAAGGAGGUGUAAGGAUCCUGGACUCUAUUGCCUGCAAGAAGCUUCAGCCACCUUCACAGUCAGGCUAGGGCUCACUGUCCAUUGUGGAGGUGAAAAGCGGAUGGGAGCUGCUGGAUUGGCCUUGAUAUGCCAUGUCCUUGU